RNAcentral lists this transfer RNA (72 nucleotides) under Cutaneotrichosporon mucoides. RNAcentral describes it as "tRNA-Trp". It matches the Rfam family "tRNA". Rfam says of the family: Transfer RNA (tRNA) molecules are approximately 80 nucleotides in length. Their secondary structure includes four short double-helical elements and three loops (D, anti-codon, and T loops). The record is from RNAcentral. Lineage: Eukaryota; Fungi; Basidiomycota; Tremellomycetes; Trichosporonales; Trichosporonaceae.
UGGGGUGUAGUAUAACGGUUAGUAUCUCAAAUUCCAAAUUUGAUUGUGGUGGUUCGAUUCCGCCCACCCCAG